Long non-coding RNA from Physella acuta, 408 nucleotides. RefSeq lists it as uncharacterized. NCBI's taxonomy places the organism in Eukaryota, Metazoa, Mollusca, Gastropoda, Physidae. The record is from RefSeq and is a predicted model, not a curated record.
GACAAGUGUUAAAUGAUGUCACUUCCGAAAGGGAAAAUCACUCUUAAAACAAAGGAGCUUCUGAAAUGUAGAUGCAUAUUUUUUGAUUUUAUGCUGCACUGUUGAAGUUUUCUGCCUCUAAUUGUAACACUGGUGAUGCAUUAUUUGUACCCUAUUGUUUAGAAAGUUUGUGUAUAAAUGAGCUGGAGAGACUGCUGGGGGGCUGCACCUGCCCUCAUCAGUUCUCUGAAUCUGGAGCUCUUCAUUAGUCAUGUCUAGAGUCAGUCGAUCAAGGAGUCAAGAGUCUGGACAUUUUUCUCUGACUCCACUAUUGUGGUUAAGGAUGAGUCUGGAACAAUAGAGAAUGUGCACAUCAAAGUAAAACACUUGUUGGAUACAUUUUAAUUAAACAUGAUAACAAAAGCUUUA